UGCGUAGGCGGAUCUUUAAGUCAGUGGUGAAAGCCUGCAGCUCAACUGUAGAACAGCCAUUGAAACUGAAGAUCUUGAAUAUGGUUAAAGUAGGCGGAAUGUAUCAUGUAGCGGUGAAAUGCUUAGAUAUGAUACAGAACACCGAUAGCGAAGGCAGCUUGCUGAACCAUUAUUGACGCUGAGGCACGAAAGCGUGGGGAGCAAACAGGAUUAGAUACCCUGGUAGUCC
Molecule: ribosomal RNA, 229 nt
Filed under: uncultured bacterium
Lineage: Bacteria
Description: partial 16S ribosomal RNA
Rfam family: Bacterial small subunit ribosomal RNA
Source: RNAcentral